GGCAGGUUGAAGGUUGGGUAACACUAACUGGAGGACCGAACCGACUAAUGUUGAAAAAUUAGCGGAUGACCUGUGGCUGGGGGUGAAAGGCCAAUCAAACCGGGAGAUAGCUGGUUCUCCCCGAAAGCUAUUUAGGUAGCGCCUCGUGAACUCAUCUCCGGGGGUAGAGCACUGUUUCGGCUAGGGGGCCAUCCCGGCUUACCAACCCGAUGCAAACUGCGAAUACCGGAGAAUGUUAUCACGGGAGACACACGGCGGGUGCUAACGUCCGUCGUGAAGAGGGAAACAACCCAGACCGCCAGCUAAGGUCCCAAAGUCAUGGUUAAGUGGGAAACGAUGUGGGAAGGCCCAGACAGCCAGGAUGUUGGCUUAGAAGCAGCCAUCAUUUAAAGAAAGCGUAAUAGCUCACUGGUCGAGUCGGCCUGCGCGGAAGAUGUAACGGGGCUAAACCAUGCACCGAAGCUGCGGCAGCGACACUGUGUGUUGUUGGGUAGGGGAGCGUUCUGUAAGCCUGUGAAGGUGGCCUGUGAGGGUUGCUGGAGGUAUCAGAAGUGCGAAUGCUGACAUAAGUAACGAUAAAGCGGGUGAAAAGCCCGCUCGCCGGAAGACCAAGGGUUCCUGUCCAACGUUAAUCGGGGCAGGGUGAGUCGACCCCUAAGGCGAGGCCGAAAGGCGUAGUCGAUGGGAAACAGGUUAAUAUUCCUGUACUUGGUGUUACUGCGAAGGGGGGACGGAGAAGGCUAUGUUGGCCGGGCGACGGUUGUCCCGGUUUAAGCGUGUAGGCUGGUUUUCCAGGCAAAUCCGGAAAAUCAAGGCUGAGGCGUGACGACGAGGCACUACGGUGCUGAAGCAACAAAUGCCCUGCUUCCAGGAAAAGCCUCUAAGCAUCAGGUAACAUCAAAUCGUACCCCAAACCGACACAGGUGGUCAGGUAGAGAAUACCAAGGCGCUUGAGAGAACUCGGGUGAAGGAACUAGGCAAAAUGGUGCCGUAACUUCGGGAGAAGGCACGCUGACACGUAGGUGAAGUGAUUUACUCAUGGAGCUGAAGUCAGUCGAAGAUACCAGCUGGCUGCAACUGUUUAUUAAAAACACAGCACUGUGCAAACACGAAAGUGGACGUAUACGGUGUGACGCCUGCCCGGUGCCGGAAGGUUAAUUGAUGGGGUCAGCGCAAGCGAAGCUCCUGAUCGAAGCCCCGGUAAACGGCGGCCGUAACUAUAACGGUCCUAAGGUAGCGAAAUUCCUUGUCGGGUAAGUUCCGACCUGCACGAAUGGCGUAAUGAUGGCCAGGCUGUCUCCACCCGAGACUCAGUGAAAUUGAACUCGCUGUGAAGAUGCAGUGUACCCGCGGCAAGACGGAAAGACCCCGUGAACCUUUACUAUAGCUUGACACUGAACAUUGAGCCUUGAUGUGUAG
Molecule: ribosomal RNA, 1419 nt
Filed under: Salmonella enterica subsp. enterica serovar Newport
Lineage: Bacteria; Pseudomonadati; Pseudomonadota; Gammaproteobacteria; Enterobacterales; Enterobacteriaceae
Description: partial 23S ribosomal RNA
Rfam family: Bacterial large subunit ribosomal RNA
Source: RNAcentral